This is a long non-coding RNA of Hippocampus comes (tiger tail seahorse), 233 nucleotides long. RefSeq lists it as uncharacterized. The transcript is spliced from 2 exons. The record is from RefSeq and is a predicted model, not a curated record. NCBI's taxonomy places the organism in Eukaryota, Metazoa, Chordata, Actinopteri, Syngnathiformes, Syngnathidae.
UUUACUUGAGCCACUCGCAUCCCGCAAAAUGGCCACACCAGAGCCGGAGAAGAUUUGACAAUUAGCCGCCUUAGGCCUUUUACACAGAAACCCAGCAAGGUGGUGUAAAAUGAGCCAAUACAUAUUGAGCAGUAUUGAAGUAGGCGCAGUGCCACACAACAGUCUUGAGGUGCCGUUUGUUUCGUUUUUUUAGCAUAUGCUACAAAGACCAACCGUAUCUGCACUGAAAAAAA